RNAcentral lists this ribosomal RNA (301 nucleotides) under uncultured bacterium. Its description in RNAcentral is "partial 16S ribosomal RNA". It matches the Rfam family "Bacterial small subunit ribosomal RNA", at positions 509 to 808 of the family's 1533-position model. The record is from RNAcentral.
CAGCACCGCGGUAAUACAGAGGGUGCGAGCGUUAAUCGGAUUUACUGGGCGUAAAGCGUGCGUAGGCGGCUUCUUAAGUCGGAUGUGAAAUCCCUGAGCUUAACUUAGGAAUUGCAUUCGAUACUGGGAAGCUAGAGUAUGGGAGAGGAUGGUAGAAUUCCAGGUGUAGCGGUGAAAUGCGUAGAGAUCUGGAGGAAUACCGAUGGCGAAGGCAGCCAUCUGGCCUAAUACUGACGCUGAGGUACGAAAGCAUGGGGAGCAAACAGGAUUAGAUACCCCCGUAGUCCCUGUCUCUUAUACC